GCGGGUGUAGCUCAAUUGGUAGAGCGUCAGCCUUCCAAGCUGAAUGUUGCCGGUUCGAUCCCGGUCACCCGCU
Molecule: transfer RNA, 73 nt
Filed under: Phycisphaera sp. TMED151
Lineage: Bacteria; Pseudomonadati; Planctomycetota; Phycisphaerae; Phycisphaerales; Phycisphaeraceae
Also listed under: 4 other names
Description: tRNA-Gly
Rfam family: tRNA
About the family: Transfer RNA (tRNA) molecules are approximately 80 nucleotides in length. Their secondary structure includes four short double-helical elements and three loops (D, anti-codon, and T loops). Further hydrogen bonds mediate the characteristic L-shaped molecular structure. tRNAs have two regions of fundamental functional importance: the anti-codon, which is responsible for specific mRNA codon recognition, and the 3' end, to which the tRNAs corresponding amino acid is attached (by aminoacyl-tRNA synthetases). tRNAs cope with the degeneracy of the genetic code in two manners: having more than one tRNA (with a specific anti-codon) for a particular amino acid; and 'wobble' base-pairing, i.e. permitting non-standard base-pairing at the 3rd anti-codon position.
Source: RNAcentral